Molecule: unclassified non-coding RNA, 2100 nt
Filed under: Haliotis rubra (blacklip abalone)
Lineage: Eukaryota; Metazoa; Mollusca; Gastropoda; Lepetellida; Haliotidae
Description: calpain-A-like, transcript variant X3
Source: RNAcentral
AACACAGCGCUCGGCAUUCAAUGGUCGGCCAUUGAAGACUUAGGUAUUCAUACAAGGCUAUCCUACCGUUGGCUGUAAGGGUCGCGGUUGAGCAAUGAUCCUGAGAAUGUGAAAGGCGUUGGAUUGCUCGACCGUAGCAGUGCUGAAGGUGCAACGUUCGUGAACCAUGGGGUGCUGUUUGUCAAAACGGAACGCUUACCCAGUUGGCGACUACGACCCUUCCAGCGCAGACUACACUGACGCUCCUGAUGGCUCUGGUUUGAAACUCUGCACAGUGGACUCUACAAUACGUGAUGCUCGCAGAACAGAGCGGCCCCGUGUUCAGGAGGGUCAGAUGUGGACGGAUCCUGACUUUCCUCUUCAUGUUGCGAUUACAGAUAAUGCCAGUAAACAUCUCCUCUGGAUGAGGCCACAGGAAUUUGUCUCUGAUCCAGUCUUGUUCUCAAAUGGAACCUUCAGACUAGACAUUCAGCAGAGGAACUUUGGAACCUGCUGGUUCCUCGCAAUGCUGUCAACUCUUGCAGACAAACCGGAUCUGUGUAAACAGGUGAUCAACGAGAGAUCCUACACCCCAAGGACGGACGGCAUCUGUCACUGUCGACUAUGGAGGUUCGGGGAGUGGGAAGAUGUGUAUAUUGACGAUCAUCUCCCCGUAUUUCCUGACGGCAGAACCAUGUACGGAGCAGCAUCCGCGACGGCAAGGAACGAGAUGUGGGUCCCUUUCAUGGAAAAGGCUCUGGCAAGGUUACACGGUUCGUACACCGUGGUGGAAGGCGGGUACACGAGUGAUGCCUAUCUGAUGCUGACAGGGGGUGUUGCUGAGAAGAUCGACUUCUACAAUACGCGAUCCCGGGCUGCAGCUUACAACAUAUUCAGCCGAAUCAGCAACGCCCUCAACACGGAGGCCCUGGUUACGUGUAGUGUAUCGUCACGAUACCACGGUAAAAUGGGUCUGAUGGGACCACACGCCUACUCGAUCAGUGGAACGUUCGUGGUGACAAGGCGUGACGGCGUCAAGGUGCCCCUUCUGAGGAUACGUAACCCCCACGGUAGACACGAGUGGACAGGGAGAUGGUGUGACGGGAGUGGCGAGUGGGACACUCUGGCGGAGGGGUCUCACAUCCACAGGAACAGGAACGAGGGAGAGUUCUGGAUUGAUGUCGGCGACUUCCUCAGAUAUUUCAAAAAUGUCACAAUCUGCUCUCUCACCCCCGACUUUGACAAAGAUGGGCGAUCGGACUCACUGAAUUACGUACUGAGGGUAUUCAGCGAGUGGCGGGGGAAAUCCGCUGUUGGUCCUGGCACCUGGCUGAGGCAGAAACUCCGGAACCCCAGGGUUGCCUUCACAGUCCCCAAGACAGGUGAAGACUUCACACCAGUCGUGGUACAGCUGAUUCAGAAGGCGGAGUUUCUCGACUAUGCUGCCAUACGGUGUGACAUGUUCAGAGUAGCCAGUGGCGACGAACAGUCCGGAACAAUAUACGUCGAUGACAUCCCAGAUGCGAAUCCCACCAGACUCUACGAGAGCAGUCUGCAGUGGUCAUCACGCUACAAGCUAAGUCCUGGACGCUACAUCGUCAUCCCGUCCACCUACUACAGCGGCGUCGAGAGAGAGUUCCUUAUUCGGGUGUACACCCCGUGUCCUUUGUACAACUGCGGGACGAUACCUGGGGAGGUGGCGGUCAAACCAGAAGACAUUUGUAUGUGUUGAGUAAGAACAGCAGGGGAGGUAACUGUUGAAGAAAAAGACAUGUGUUUAUGUGGAUUCAGUAUACCAAGGGAGAUAACUGUCAAAUUGGAAGACUUCGGUAGGUUGAGUAUGACAGGGGAGGUAACUGAUGAAGAAGAAGACAUGUGUUUAUGUGGAUGCAGCAUACCAAGCGUGAUAACUGUCAAAUUAGAAGACUUCUGUUGGUUGAGUAUAAGAGGGAAGGUAAUUGGUGAAGAAGAAGACAUGUGUUUAUCCAUUGUCAACAAUGGUCACCUGAAACACACGAAACAGUCUUGAACUUGGGGUCAGAUCAUGGAAGACUGAAGUCAAUACCAUAUGCAGAUUGUGGACAGCAAAAGCAUUGCAACAAAGUACAAUGUUUGAUUUUC